AUUGAACGCUGGCGGCAUGCCUUACACAUGCAAGUCGAACGGUAACAGGUUAAGCUGACGAGUGGCGAACGGGUGAGUAGUAUAUCGGAACGUGCCCAGUCGUGGGGGAUAACGUAGCGAAAGCUACGCUAAUACCGCAUACGAUCUACGGAUGAAAGCGGGGGAUCGCAAGACCUCGCGCGAUUGGAGCGGCCGAUAUCAGAUUAGGUUGUUGGUGAGGUAAAAGCUCACCAAGCCUGCGAUCUGUAGCUGGUCUGAGAGGACGACCAGCCACACUGGAACUGAGACACGGUCCAGACUCCUACGGGAGGCAGCAGUGGGGGAUUUUGGACAAUGGACGCAAGUCUGAUCCAGCAAUGCCGCGUGCAGGACGAAGGCCUUCGGGUUGUAAACUGCUUUUGUACGGAACGAAACGGUGAGCUCUAAUACAGUUUGCUAAUGACGGUACCGUAAGAAUAAGCACCGGCUAACUACGUGCCAGCCGCCGCGGUAA
Molecule: ribosomal RNA, 493 nt
Filed under: uncultured bacterium
Lineage: Bacteria
Description: partial 16S ribosomal RNA
Rfam family: Bacterial small subunit ribosomal RNA
Source: RNAcentral